RNA transcript from Lolium rigidum, 4525 nucleotides. It is a transcript of the gene named pentatricopeptide repeat-containing protein At2g15980-like, with no coding region annotated. The record is from RefSeq and is a predicted model, not a curated record. NCBI's taxonomy places the organism in Eukaryota, Viridiplantae, Streptophyta, Magnoliopsida, Poales, Poaceae. The transcript is spliced from 3 exons.
AUGCACGCCGACGGCGGCGCCGCCCCGUCCACCGGAGAUUCCACGACCGACCCUUCCUCUCCCUACUUCAUCGACGCCGCCCACCCGUACGCGGCCGCCGCCGCUUCCGCGCUCACCUCCCACCGCUCCAAGUCCAAGUGGUCUCACCUCUCCUCUCUCCCGCUCCCCGAUCCCCUUCCGGCGUCCGCCGUCUCCGCCGUCCUCCUCCUCCUCCGCCGCCGGCCGCACGUCGCCCUCAGCUUCCACAGCUUCGCGCUCCGCCGCCUCCUCCCCGCCCGCUCCCCUCCCCCGCUCAUCCUCUCCGCCUCAGCCGCCCACGUCGCCGCCGCUUCGCGCCUCCGGCGCGCGGCCAUUUCCGUCCUCUCCUCCGCCACCUGCCACUACUCCCCCUCUCAGAUAUUCAACGCCCUCGCCGCCACCUACCGCCGCUUCGCGUCCGCCCCCUUCGUCUUCGACCUCCUCCUCCUCGCUUACCUCCGCUCCCGCCGCGACCCCCUCGCGGCCACCUCCAUCGCCCGCCGCCUCCUUGCCGCCGGCGCCUGCCCCCUCCCCGCCACCGCCGCCGCCCUCUUCCGCUCCCUCCCCUCCGCCGAGUCCGCCCUCGAGAUGUACCACCAAAUCUACACACUCCCGGGCACAAGAACCAGCCGCGCGCUCCAGCCAACCGCCCAGACCUUCAACUCCCUCCUCCUCGCUUUCUACCGCCAAGGCAAGUGUGAAGAUUUCAGCGUCGCGCUGGACGAAAUGGACAGGUAUUCUUGCGAGCACAAUGUGGGCACCUACAACAUUAGGAUGGCUGCUUACUGUGACGGCAGAAAAUUUGAUAAGGCACGAGGACUGUGGGAUGAGAUGGUUCAGGGAGGGAUCCAGCCAGACGUCACCACAUACAACACCAUGAUUGCCGGGUAUUGUGGUGCUGGAGAGGUGGGGAUGGCGGAGGAGAUGUUUAAGGACAUGGAGAUUGGUGGUAUCGAGCCAAGUGUUACAACCUUUGAGUGGUUGGUUCGAGGGCAUUGCAGGACAGGGAAUGUCGAUGCUGCGAUGCUUGUUUGUGCAGACCUUAGAAGGAGGGGUUUUGCGAUGGCUGCGGAGGUUGUCGAGGAGGUUGUUGAUGCAUUGUGUCGGAAGAGCAGAGUUGGGGAGGGGUUAGGUAUUUUGAGGGCAGAGAUGAGAAGGGAAGAUUUCACACCUAGUCGGGGAAGCUACGAGGCGCUGAUAAGGGGGUUUUGUGAACAAGGAGAAGUGGAGGUGGCCAUGAGACUCCAGGCAGAGAUGGCUGGGAAGGGAUUCAAGGCUGGUGCUGAGGUAUACCAUGCUUUUGUCCGUGCUUAUGAGAAGACUGAGGACUUCGAGAUGGUUGAGAGGUUGAGGAAGGAAAUGUCGGUGAUAGGCAUUGACGAAGAAAUCGGCCUGGCUUGUAUGCAGUGAUGUACUGUUUGGAAGCUAUGUAUGUCGUUGUUCAAGAAACCGGCACAUGGGUGCGAGGUACAUUAGCAUAAGCAGUCCUGGAGCUGCAAUUGUCACUGGAGGCGUCUGGCAACGGUGAUGAGCGGAUGAUGCUGUCCUAUUGCCCCGAGUCUUGAUGCCUUUCCAUUCUUGGCUGGAGGUAAGGCUGGGCAAGGCCUAAUGUCGUUGCGGUCUGAAGUUGAGGGCACCUCCUCACCUAGUCGUAGUUGCUUGGUGAGGAAGGUUGUGUGUGUGUCCCUCCUCUUUGUAGGUUGUACCACUGAUGUCUUCCUGUUCAAUGAAAUGAGACGCAAAUUCUUUUGCGUUUUCUUGAAAAUUAAAAUUUAGUUUUAGUCAAUUAUGGAGUUUAUAAAAAAUGCAAUUUGCUAAUUUACUUUAUAUUCUUAUUUCGAGUUUCAUUCUGGAAAUAGUUUUAUACUUUCUCUGCCUAAUAUGGUUUUUAACUCAAUUCUGUAAGGGUUUAUAUCGAGUAAGCAUGCAAUAAGUUGCUAUAUUAAUUUUCUAUUACAUAAUCUAUUUAAAAAGAUUUUAUUCUCCAGUUCCUAAGUUUUGUCAAAAAUAUCUGGAAUUUCGUUAGUUAUAAACAAUUGAUGGGUUUGCUGCAAAAUCAAAUCAAAGUUGCUAAUUGUCCGUAAUCUAUUUUUGACAUAUGAUUUAUUCCGAAUCCAGGCUUUACUGGUUUUACGUGGAGCUUGUACGGAAACUGAAUUUCUAAAUUGGUUGCAGUCAGCACUUCACCCCUCGCAUCUGUGAAAGCUCUAGACAUACAUGCGGCCAGCAAGACUCACAAGAAGUAAGUACUGACAUCGGGUACUAAUUAAAUUGGACUCCUGCUUGUCAAUUUUUCGUUUCUUGCUUAAGUAUUCUGCCAUCAAAAUUAGUAGAACUCAUGUGCAUGUCAUGAAUAUCCACCGUACAUAUAUUUUACAUCUAAAUUGAUCGAUCUACACCAUUGUUUUAUCGUUGUUUAAUGAUAUAAUAGGUUGUACUUUGAAGUUUAGAACUUUCAGACUUGAUCACUUGAUAUAGAGUUUAGCUACCUCUUAAAACCAAAUAACUGAUUCUUUUUGUUCUGAAUUCAUAUAUAAAACAGAGUUGUAUUUUUCCAAGUUAGAAGAGUUAUAUUAUUUUAUCAAUCUAAUAACAAUUGUAUGUACAUUUGUAAAAAAGUAAAUCUAGCCUCUGGUGAUGAUGGGUUACACUGUCUUACUUCUUCGAGAAAUUUGGGAUGAAGUACUCUCAUGGAUCAGGUUCAUCUUUAGGCCCCCAGACCCUGACGCUCCCCUGAUUGAAUGGUGGCUUUCGAAUAAAGAAGGAUUAGUGGAACGACUGCUUCCCUCGUCCUGCUCAGUGUUCACCAUGUGGAUGCUUUGGAAGCACCGAAACACGUGUUUUCUUUGCUGGUGCUUGUGCAAACCUCGUGAUGCUCCUUGCUCAGAUUAAAGAGGAAGCUAUCCUCUGGUCCCGAGCUGGUGGUUGAGGUCUUAGAAUUUGCGGUGGAUGGGAUGUAUUCCCUCUGAUCCAUAAUAAAGUGUCGGGGGCUUUAGUUCAAUUUAGUUCAAAUUUGAACUAAAUUCCCGACACUUAUUAUGGAUCGUACUGAUGCUGUGUGUGUUUCCUAGCCUCUCUUUAGGCUUGUAGAAAUUUUUCGACAUUUUCAAUAUAUCAAAAAGGCAAAGCUUGAAAAAAUAAUCUUCUACUCGCACGUGCUGCUGGGCCAUGGCGUAGCGUAGCAAUCACCAUGAAAUAGAUCUGUUAUAUACUCUCAUGAUAAAUCUGAUUGUAGUGGUCUUGUAAGAGUGACAGAGUAGCAACUGAAUUUCACUUGAAUUGUUUGUGCACAUGUGAUGUAUUCUCAAGCCAAGAUUCAAACUAUCGUGUGUACGUGAGAGAUUGCUUAAUUACACGGUGAAAUCAGCAGCGCUCAAACAUCUUGAAUUUGGAUGGAUGAAUCUUGUCUGUUCUUCUUCUAUCGUUUGAAUAAUAAUAAAUAGAUACAUAAAUGGGGCUGGGUGGUCCUCCCUGUUGAUGUAACUUUUUUACUAUGAACUUAUAAAUAGAAGAAAGUUUACAAGAUGGGACACCAAAUCUCUAUGAGCCAUAAAUUCCUAGUCAUACUCAUACUCAUACACAACUUCUAACACACCACUACAGUAUUAGUAGCCAGUCAAUUAAAAACUGUUAUGUAGCAAACACAUACCUGGACACAUGGUAAUUAUUGUGCAUAACAUAUAACAAUAUUUAGGUUUUCACUAAUUUUCUCUUCAGAUUGGCCCAUCUUAGUACCACAGUCACAUAAAUCUUGUCCUGCAGCCUUUCGACCAACAGGAAAUAAGAAAUUCUCCAUUUUCUCUUAAACAACAUCACACAAAAGAUCACCCAAAGGCCAAGAACGAAGCCAACAGCGAAACCAAGGUAAAUGGAUAUGUCCUCCAAUCCAUCCCCGUCAUCUGCAUGUGCUGGCGGACUCAACCCAUUUCCAGGACAACUGUUAGUCAAGGGGAGACCACAUAAACCAAUGUUUCCGAUGUAAGAAGAUGCAUCGAAAGUCCUGAGCUGAUUUCCAAAUGGUAUCUUUCCAGAUAGAGUGUUGUAUGAGAGGUUUAUAUGGCUUAAAGAGGUAAUAGAUGCCAUGCUUGAAGGGAUUUCACCUGAAAGCUCAUUGUUUGACAGGUCAAGAGACUCCAAUUGCUUGAGCUCACCAAUAUUCUCUGGGAUUUCACCACUUAAGCUGUUCCAUGAAAAGUUCAGACCUCUUAAUCCAAUGAGAGCACCAAUACCUUGAGGGAUCACCCCGGCUAGACUGUUGCAUGACAAAUCAAGAAACACCAUGUACGGGAUUUGACGUGAAAAUUCAAGUUGUUGUCCUUUAGUAAGAACUGAUACUUGUUCCGUGAAAUAAAUCAAAUCAUAUACUGAGUUAUACAAAUGGGGUCCAUGGAAAUAUGUGAUCACUUUAUCAAGAACAUAACUGUAUCCAGAAAUAUGGGCCAUUGCACUCAUGUUAACUAAUGAGUCCAGCAUGAUACCUGAGAAGUUGUUAUGUGCAAGAUCUAAA